RNAcentral lists this transfer RNA (97 nucleotides) under Paraclostridium bifermentans. RNAcentral's name for it is "tRNA-Sec". It matches the Rfam family "Selenocysteine transfer RNA". Lineage: Bacteria; Bacillati; Bacillota; Clostridia; Peptostreptococcales; Peptostreptococcaceae. The record is from RNAcentral.
GGAGGUGGAUGGGUGCUAGUGUGCCCUCUAGUCUUCAAAACUAGUAUGAGGGGUUAAGAGCUUCUUGGGUGGGUUCGAUUCCCACCACUCCCCGCCA